RNAcentral lists this long non-coding RNA (846 nucleotides) under Parus major (Great Tit). RNAcentral describes it as "lncRNA (ENSPMJG00000016863.1)". Lineage: Eukaryota; Metazoa; Chordata; Aves; Passeriformes; Paridae. The record is from RNAcentral.
GUGUCCCACCCCUGAAGGGCCACACACUUGUCCUUAGCUGCAUCAGAAAUAGGUUUUUCCCCUUGGGUGGAAAAUGUAUCUUUUACCAGCUCUGUGUGAAGCACUUUCCUCCUUUAAAAAAACUGUUCUCAGGCUAAAAAUGUGUUAUCUGUGUUUCCUUUUACACAUUUCCUUUAGGGGAGCCACUGCCUGGCUGAUUGACAUCGUGCCCCAGCUGGGUUUUCUACAAAAACCCUUUUUUAGUCCCUUUAUCAGACACUUCUCCCACCUGUUAAUCUGUUUAUCCACCGCCCAGCGCUUGAAAGCGCUGCAGUAGCAAACUCUCACCUGAAAAAAAACCCAACAAACAAGCGAGUUUUGGUUAAAUAAACCCCAAAAUAUUUACCUGGGGCUCAGCAGCUGUGAGGAGAGCAGGACCAACAUCUGCUGAUGGAGCUGGUGGAUGGUGGGAGCAGUUCCAGGGAGGAAGAGGAAUUUGGGAAGUCACCCCAAUGUGUGAUGCAGCUCCUGGGGUCUUGCUGCCUCUCUGUGUCCCCCUGGAGACACCUCAGCGGGAGGAUGAGCUCUUGUGCGUGCUGGAUUCCUGCUGUCACCUCACUUGGAACCUUGGUGCUCCACGCUCUGCUCUUGCUGGUCCUUUACAUCAUGCUCAGCAGGAAAAUUGCCCAACAUUCCCGUGGGAUGCAGAGGAGCAGCAGCCCUGGGGAUCAUCCCAGGGCUCAGCCCAGCCCUGCCCCGGCCUCGUCACCGGCAGGGGACAGGGCACAAAAUCCCAGAGCACAAAAACCAUCAGCAGCCUAUGCAGGUAAGGGGCUCCUGCAGCAAUGGGGAGGUGUCCUGGCACAG